UGGGGAAUUUUGGACAAUGGGGGCAACCCUGAUCCAGCCAUUCCGCGUGAGUGAAGAAGGCCUUCGGGUUGUAAAGCUCUUUCAGCAGGAACGAAACGGUCGGCUUUAAUAAAGUCGGCUAAUGACGGUACCUGCAGAAGAAGCACCGGCUAACUACGUGCCAGCAGCCGCGGUAAUACGUAGGGUGCGAGCGUUAAUCGGAAUUACUGGGCGUAAAGCGUGCGCAGGCGGCGACAUAAGACAGAUGUGAAAUCCCCGGGCUCAACCUGGGAACUGCGUUUGUGACUGUGUUGCUAGAGUGUAGCAGAGGGGGGUGGAAUUCCACGUGUAGCAGUGAAAUGCGUAGAGAUGUGGAGGAACACCGAUGGCGAAGGCAGCCCCCUGGGUUAACACUGACGCUCAUGCACGAAAGCGUGGGGAGCAAACAGGAUUAGAUACCCCUGUAGUCCCUGAGCGGGCUGGCAAGGCGCAU
This 472-nucleotide ribosomal RNA is filed under the name uncultured bacterium. RNAcentral describes it as "bacterial SSU rRNA". It matches the Rfam family "Bacterial small subunit ribosomal RNA", at positions 355 to 825 of the family's 1533-position model. The record is from RNAcentral.